RNAcentral lists this ribosomal RNA (468 nucleotides) under uncultured bacterium. RNAcentral's name for it is "partial 16S ribosomal RNA". It matches the Rfam family "Bacterial small subunit ribosomal RNA", at positions 28 to 507 of the family's 1533-position model. The record is from RNAcentral.
GACGAACGCUGGCGGCGUGCUUAACACAUGCAAGUCGAACGGAAAGGCCCUGCUUUUGUGGGGUGCUCGAGUGGCGAACGGGUGAUUAACACGUGAGUAACCUGCCCUUGACUUUGGGAUAACUUCAGGAAACCGGGGCUAAUACCGGAUAGGAGCUCCUGCUGCAUGGUGGGGGUUGGAAAGUUUCGGCGGUUGGGGAUGGACUCGCGGCUUAUCAGCUUGUUGGUGGGGUAGUGGCUUACCAAGGCUUUGACGGGUAGCCGGCCUGAGAGGGUGACCGGCCACAUUGGGACUGAGAUACGGCCCAGACUCCUACGGGAGGCAGCAGUGGGGAAUAUUGCACAAUGGGCGGAAGCCUGAUGCAGCAACGCCGCGUGCGGGAUGACGGCCUUCAGGGUGUAAACCGCUUUCGCCUGUGACGAAGCGUGAGUGACGGUAAUGGGUAAAGAAGCACCGGCUAACUACGUG